GACGAACGCUGGCGGCAUGCCUAACACAUGCAAGUCGAACGGAACUUGUUGAAUGAAGUUUUCGGAUGGAUUUUAGCAAGUUUAGUGGCGGACGGGUGAGUAACGCGUGAGCAACCUGCCUUUCAGAGGGGGACAACAGUUGGAAACGACUGCUAAUACCGCAUAACGUAUCGGAACCGCAUGGCUCUGAUACCAAAGAUUUAUCGCUGAAAGAUGGGCUCGCGUACGAUUAGAUAGUUGGUGAGGUAACGGCUCACCAAGUCGACGAUCGUUAGCCGGACUGAGAGGUUGAACGGCCACAUUGGGACUGAGACACGGCCCAGACUCCUACGGGAGGCAGCAGUGAGGAAUAUUGGGCAAUGGGCGCAAGCCUGACCCAGCAAUGCCGCGUGAAGGAAGACGGUUUCGGAUUGUAAACUUCUUUUAAGAGGGACGAAGAACGUGACGGUACCUGGAGAAAAAGCGACGGCUAACUACGUG
RNAcentral lists this ribosomal RNA (480 nucleotides) under uncultured bacterium. Its description in RNAcentral is "bacterial SSU rRNA". It matches the Rfam family "Bacterial small subunit ribosomal RNA", at positions 28 to 507 of the family's 1533-position model. The record is from RNAcentral.